This is a small RNA of Ruegeria pomeroyi DSS-3, 87 nucleotides long. It matches the Rfam family "Singlet oxygen resistance RNA X". From Rfam's summary of the family: SorX (RSs2461)like SorY is a singlet oxygen induced sRNA that counteracts oxidative stress by targeting mRNA for a transporter in Rhodobacter. It also has an impact on resistance against organic hydroperoxides. The record is from Rfam. Lineage: Bacteria; Pseudomonadati; Pseudomonadota; Alphaproteobacteria; Rhodobacterales; Roseobacteraceae.
AGCACUCGAAGGCGAUGAUGCUUAAGCGCUUGUCACCUUCAUACCUCCCUGUUGGACUAUGGCCGAGCUUAGUGCUCGGCCUUUUUU